CGGCACGGGCCGCGUGCCCUAUAAUGCAAGUCGAACGAACUCUGGUAUUGAUUGGUGCUUGCAUCAUGAUUUACAUUUGAGUGAGUGGCGAACUGGUGAGUAACACGUGGGAAACCUGCCCAGAAGCGGGGGAUAACACCUGGAAACAGAUGCUAAUACCGCAUAACAACUUGGACCGCAUGGUCCGAGUUUGAAAGAUGGCUUCGGCUAUCACUUUUGGAUGGUCCCGCGGCGUAUUAGCUAGAUGGUGGGGUAACGGCUCACCAUGGCAAUGAUACGUAGCCGACCUGAGAGGGUAAUCGGCCACAUUGGGACUGAGACACGGCCCAAACUCCUACGGGAGGCAGCAGUAGGGAAUCUUCCACAAUGGACGAAAGUCUGAUGGAGCAACGCCGCGUGAGUGAAGAAGGGUUUCGGCUCGUAAAACUCUGUUGUUAAAGAAGAACAUAUCUGAGAGUAACUGUUCAGGUAUUGACGGUAUUUAACCAGAAAGCCACGGCUAACUACGUGCCAGCAGCCGCGGUAAUACGUAGGUGGCAAGCGUUGUCCGGAUUUAUUGGGCGUAAAGCGAGCGCAGGCGGUUUUUUAAGUCUGAUGUGAAAGCCUUCGGCUCAACCGAAGAAGUGCAUCGGAAACUGGGAAACUUGAGUGCAGAAGAGGACAGUGGAACUCCAUGUGUAGCGGUGAAAUGCGUAGAUAUAUGGAAGAACACCAGUGGCGAAGGCGGCUGUCUGGUCUGUAACUGACGCUGAGGCUCGAAAGUAUGGGUAGCAAACAGGAUUAGAUACCCUGGUAGUCCAUACCGUAAACGAUGAAUGCUAAGUGUUGGAGGGUUUCCGCCCUUCAGUGCUGCAGCUAACGCAUUAAGCAUUCCGCCUGGGGAGUACGGGCCGCAAGGCUGAAACUCAAAGGAAUUGACGGGGGCCCGCACAAGCGGUGGAGCAUGUGGUUUAAUUCGAAGCUACGCGAAGAACCUUACCAGGUCUUGACAUACUAUGCAAAUCUAAGAGAUUAGACGUUCCCUUCGGGGACAUGAUAAGGUGGUGCAUGGUUGUCGUCAGCUCGUGUCGUGAGAAUGUUGGUAGUUCCGCACGAGCGCACCCUUAUUAUCAGUGCCAGCAUAGUGGCACUCUGGUGAGAACUGCGGUGACAACGGAGAGUGGGGAUGACGUCAAUUCAUCUUGCC
Molecule: ribosomal RNA, 1186 nt
Filed under: Lactiplantibacillus plantarum
Lineage: Bacteria; Bacillati; Bacillota; Bacilli; Lactobacillales; Lactobacillaceae
Description: bacterial SSU rRNA
Rfam family: Bacterial small subunit ribosomal RNA
Source: RNAcentral